UGCUCAUAAAGGGUGAGUUGUGUGUAUGCGAGUGUGUCUGCAUAUUUCUACUGUGUUUUCAAAAAAAAAAAAAACUUGGUAGAAAGGACUGCCACUUUAUUCAGAAAAUAUAAGAUACUACAACAAAGAGUUGUUUCAUUGUGCCUAGUAUAUUGAGUAUCGAAUACUAGCACCAAUUCACUAUAUCUUUUUUUCAAGAGGUCAUCAGCAAUUCACUAUCACGGAGAGGGUAUACAUACAUAUAGCAUCUCAGCCCACUGCCUAUACAUACAGGCUACUCGUCUGAUAAUUUACCGAUGGUGGCAGUGUGGGUUGCUGUUUGGGUCGUAGGUCAUGUCGGAGGGACAUGGACCUGUAAGUUGUUGCAAGUACAGCCGUUUGAUGAACUGCAUGAUGGGAUGGCCAACGCCGGAGGCGGCUUCGCCGCCGCCGGCCCACUUGUCGCCUUCCACUCGGCGCGCCGACCCUGACACGACCAACAGCAUCAGCACCGCCAGCAGCAGCGGCAAAACGAACUUGCUGGUCAUGGCCAUUGUCCUAGCAAGCUGCUACAAGUUUAUUUUUGUAGUUAGGCCUAGCUAGGCUCUCAGCUGGCAAAGACAAAUUAAAACACUUGUUGAGUGAUUAGUUGUGUCUUGAGAGUUCUUGAGGACGAUGAAAUGUGCCCAGGUGUAUAUAUAGAGGCUUCAGGUUUGAAAUUCAAGCAUUGUGAAAAUUCCAUGCUAUUACUUACUACAUACUGCGUGUGCGACUCGACCGUGCAGUAGCCACACGGUUUGUCGCCGACCGACGACGUAGCGUUCAGCAGCGCGCGUUGCCACCUGCCGAGGUGUGAAUGUGACAAGCCUUUAGUUUUUUUUUUUUUUUUUUGAGUGGACAAGCCUUUAGUUAGGCUGGGGCCUCGUACUACAAUAGCAAGCGGGUAUGCUGGGCCUUUGUGCUGUGUAUCAUGUCGGCCCACUGCCCGUUGGUACGCUGGCCACACUUGAACUUGUCGUUUUAGUCUGUUUUCCAUACUUGAACUUAACUAACCCUCCUUAGCUCUAAAAAAUGUUCAAAAAUAAAUCCAUACUAUGAUUUUGAGUGGUUUUGAAGGUAGAUAUGUCCUUUUUAGUUUUAAAAAACUUUCUCUAUUCUAAAUUGUAAGUUAUUUUAGUUUUUCUAGGUACAUAGCAAGGUAUACAUUAUGCCUAAAUAUAUAAUAAACAUUAUGUAUCUAAAAAAGCCAAAAUAAUUUAUAAUUUGAAACAAUAAAUUUUGAAUUGUCAAAAUUCUUUCUCACCUCCAGCCCCCACUAUAUAUGCUCCAACCUUGCAGAAGACAACCUUUUUCUUCACUUCUUGUACUGAGCAAGAGGAUUUAAAACGUACGAAAUGGAGUUCGCAAGUGGAGAAACGAUUUACUAAAGUGAGAUGUGCUAUCAGCGGUGGGAAGGCCGUUUACAUAAUGUAAUUUCAUAGUAAUUUCGACGGAAAAUACUACUGAUGAAUUUAUUUCAUAUUUCGUGAGCAUCUAUUGAAUAAUUGUCCUUUUCUUUUUUCCCCCAACGAUGAGGUCAUCUCAUGAAGUGAUGGAAUGUUUCCUUGCGAAGUAGCCACGGCUGUUUGUCUAGACCGCCAGUCAAAAUUUCCUGCGUUCAGUACUCUAAAAAUAAAAUCCAUAUUCAAGUCAAAAGUCUAGCAGUCACAUCCAGUCUUCGAUCAAAACUAAACAAAAAAGUCAAGUCGCACAUUCGAAAUCAGAUACACAUGGAGUCAAUCAACUUUACAGGACAUGCGUUACACGAUCUUCCACUGGACCCUAGUCGCACAGCAUUCAGUGGUCAGAUGACAGUUGGUUUGAUCCACGCGGCAGGACCAUUGGACCCUGUUAAUUGGGUACUCCUACCUACGUGGCUUCGGUAACUAAUCUAGGUAGGAGUACCAAGAAUUAACAAGGCCCUAGUCUAGGUAUUUAGUAUGCCUGUUAAUAGGGACCCAGUUUAAAAAUAUGCAUAACAAAAUUUUUAUAUAUAAUUCGAUAAAAAUUAUUUAUCAAUUGGAUAAAUAUUUAUAAAUUUUACAAUACAAUUCAGUAUAUAGCUAAUAAGUAGCAUGAUAAGUCUAAUGACCUGUUAGAUCAGCUACGACUAGUUAUUAGUUGUGGAUAAAAAAUAGCUCAAAUUAGCUAGGGUUGACCAGAUAAUAGGCUAAGAGCAACUCCAAAUGACUCUUUGUGUCUUUCCCGAUGUAAAAAGACAAGACUUUUGUAAAAAAAAGCCCUCCAAAUGUAUCUUUAAUUGGAUCUCUAAAUAUAGCUGUCCUCUGUUCGAGAUUUUUGCUAGCUAAAGAUGGAGAUUGAGGCCUUGUUUAGUUCAUCCUAAAAUUAAAAAAAAAUUCAAGAUUUCUCGUCACAUCAAAUCUUAUGGUACAUGCAUGAAGCACUAAAUAUAAAUAAAAAAAAACUAAUUGGACAGUUUGUCUGUAAUUUACGAGACAAAUCUUUUGAGCCUAGUUAGUCUAUAUUUGGAUAAUAAUUAUCAAAUACAAACGAAAGUGCUACAGUAUCAAAAUCCAAAAUCUUUUCACAACUAAACAAGUCCUGAGGAUGGCUCUCUAAAGUGAGCACUAAGAGAUAGGAAAGUUACUGGAGGAUAUAAAGAUAUAGAAAUCAACUUUUACUCAAAUGACUUAGAUUUAGAUAGUAAAUUUUAAAAAUACUCUUAAAGUUGCUCUAAUAAUUACUAGUUAAAAACUUAGGUAAAAAAUUACCGUACAUAUUAGCCCCAUGUUUAGAUGGGUUAGGACUUAAGUUAGCCGACUAACAAUUAGCCGUGCAUCGAAACAUGUUCUCUUAAUUUCGAAGAUGAAGUUGAAAACUUCAGUUACAAUAAAACCAAUUCAAGUUAUGUAUUGAUAGUUUGAAAUAUAGACUUACAAUACUAAUUAUUUGACUUACAAUAAAUAUACAUAUACACACUAGGAGAGUAUGCUGAGGCACUCGUAUUUUUGUUUGGUCUCUCCAUGUAACGGGAGGUUCAACAUGUUAGGCUUAAUGCUGAGGAAUAUGCUAAUAAUCUCAUUAAAAUUCAUUGUACUUAAUAUUAACCACUAUUACAUAAAUGAUUCGUAAGAAACACCUUUUUUGGGGGAGAGAUGGCUCCACCUCGAUUUGUGAUAAUGGUUUUACUAAUUUUUGAUAAAGUGAAUACAUAUUUAUGAUACAUGUGCUACUAUAAAGUGAGGACCCAUCAUAUUCUACCCAGAUCCAAUUUACAAACAAAAGCCUGACAAAGACGAUUCACCAACAGUAACUAAACUUAUCACAUAGUACUAAACUUAGACCCAUCACAUUGUCGUUCUACCUGAGUAUCGAAUAUUAAUUAUCACGAUGACAGAGAGAAGAAGUAUGGCAGCUGACGCGUAUUUAUGCUUCCUGAUCUGCCGUGUUUGGUGUGUACUACCGUCUACUAAUGGCAGUUUGGGUUGUUUGUGUCGUAGGUAUCGCAGGAUGGCCCUGCUGUCGCCAGUUGCUGCAGGUACAGGCGUUUGAUGGUCUGUAUGAUAGGACGGCCGCCGACGCCGAAGGCGGACUCGCCGCCGGUGGAUGUGGAUCGAUCGCGGUCCAGGUCCAGCUGCCGCGCCGUCGACCCUGACACCGCCAACAGCAUCAGCACCGCGAUCAGCAGUGGCAAAACGAAUGACGACCUACUGAUCGACGUGGCCAUCCUUACAACGCAGCUGCAAACAGUGUUUCAGCGUAGCUGCUAGCAGGUUUCUGCAGUGUACGUAUAACCUUGUGUGCCUUUUCCUCUCUCUGAGCUAUACCUUGAUAUAAUCUGCAGGGGUAUAUAUAGGAGCUUCAAAGCUCUGCGAAAUUUCGAUGGAAGAAUUGCCUUCUUAAUGACGACGUGCGCGACUCGACACUGCGAGGGAGGUGCCGCUAUCACGCGGGUUUCUUCUGCUUCUACAUGCAUACAUACUGGUAGGUCUUCAGAACGGAAAACUGCAUCCAGUCCAAUUACAAAGCUUACAAUAAUCUCGGGAUGGAUUUUUAUAACCCAAAACUCAUAAUCCUGGGUGUUUGGAGUCCUCGAUUUGAUGUAGGUGCUUAUAUUUUUCUAGAUUUAUUGUAGAUCGGUGCUAUUAUUUUAAUAGUAAGUACACACUCUUGUAGAGAUAUAGAUGACUAUACAUGCAUGCGAGUAUCUCUGUGUUGACUUUUGUUUCGAAAAAAACUAAGAAUUGGAAUCAGGUGAGUAAUAAGAGUGCAGCUAUCUUUUACUCUUUUUUUUUGCAGGUAACCUUUCACAAUGUUUUGCAGGUCUACGCUCUUUGCAUUAUCAGGGUCGAACUUACUCUGAAAAAUUGAUGGUUUUUACGUGUGCGAGCCUGCAGUGGGCUGUGGCAAUGCACAUAUGCAAAUUUACACGGUUUCAUGCUCUGCCAAAAACUUCACAAAUAUUAUGCGGAAAGUAGUCCGUCGGCUGGCGAUGUAUGUAUGAUGUAUCUAUCCUUUCUUAUGAGCUUUAGGCCUUGUUCAGUCCGUGAAAAUUUUUGGUUUUCGCUACUGUAGUACUUUCGUUUAUAUGUGACAAAUAUUAUCCAAUUACAGAGAUUUGUCUCGUAAAUUACAAACAAACUGUACAAUUAGUUUUUAUUUUCGUCUAUAUUUAAUACUCCAUGCAUGCGUAUCAAGAUUCGAUGUGACGGAGAAUCUUAAAGUUUUUUUAAACUAAACAAGGCCUUAACUUGCGUGAAAAAAAAACUAGCGCUACAAUUCGUCUUGUGGAACCUGUGGUCCAUGUAGCUUUCGGUACAAAGAAGCACUGUUGCAUGACCGGCACUGAAUAAGGAGUGGAAGCGUCAGGAAUACAGGUGUGUAGUGUGGCUCCACGCGAAGACAAGAAAUUGACCAUAGAUAUUAUUCUGCUGACGCACUACUGAUGAUGGUUGGAGUUCACUGAUUGCCUAGUGAACACGGCGUAGAUUAAUUUUACCUUCCGUGAAAAUUCGGAAGGGAGACAUUUCUAAGAAACGUCCAAGAAAGUUUUGUCUGAUUGGAACCAAAGACAGAUCAAUUGGAAAUGCAGCGCUUGAAACAAAGUAAUGCUUUCCAGAUGGGGAGAUCGAUGUUGAAGUAGUGGAAGUUCGAGACAAGUACCUCUUUUUCAUUUUGUAUUUAAAACUUGAUGAAUUAUAUUUGUGGUUGAUCAGCCAUUUAAGAAAAUGAAUGUAGUUAGUUAAGUAUGUAUUUUCCUUUUGGCAAAAUUUAAUGAAGAUGUGAUGACUAGGGACGCUAUGGGCGCAAGACACUUUUAAGAAGAUCCUUUAAGCAUUUAGAGAACGAUGAUGACUCUCUAGAGUGCGCACAGUAUAUAGAAAAAAAUUAUUAUAUGAUAUAAAGGUAUAGAAAACAACAUUUUACUCAAACGACUCUUCAAAUAAUGAUUUAGAUAAUAAAUUUUAGAAAGACUUUUAUAGAUGUUUUUAGUUUUCCUUACUCUUUUCUCUUGUACCUUUUUUUUUCUUGUUUUGGGUUUUGGGGCUUAGGCCUCUUCCCUAUAUUAUAUUAAUAAACACCGAUCCGUUUAUAUCUUAGAAAAAAGUAUCGUUCGUAUCUUUUCUUUGCCUCUCAUAUGGUUUUGUUUUGCCCAUAAGUCGGUAAUCCUUUUUUUUAUGAAACUGGAGAAAUUUGUAUCCUUGAGAUAAAGGGUCUGUUUAGUUGGCUUUAGGGCUGCUUGAGCUUCCAAAAAGCCAAAGGGCUGCUUUUAAGCUAGGAUUUUUUUCUAGAAAUAACUGUUUUUUCUAGUAUAUUUUUAAAUGCAACAUAGAGCAUGCUUUUGGAUUUCGACUUUUUGAAAUGAAUGGAAUAAAGAACUCUUUCAUAGCUGUUUUAAGAGAGAUAAAAAAUGAGGUAUAUUUUAUAUUUAUUUCAAUGGCUUUCAGCUUUCUUACAACUGAUAUCUCACCAUAGUUUUUUCACUACUCACAGUCACAGCCUAACUUUUCCCACAUCCACAACUCAAUCAAAUAAAGAAACCCAAAAUACACUACCAAAAAGAAGGGUCAACAAGAACAGUCAACAAUUCAAGAAACGAAAAAUAGUAAAAAUAAUAUAAAAGAUAAUUGCAGAAUAUAUUCUUGGUCUUUUGUAAUUGAUCGAUGACGUCAGCAAUCUGGAUGAAGUCACGAAAAUGUUUGUAGUCAUACGUAACUAAGCCCCGUCUAAACUCUCCUGUACAUUCAAGUCCGAGUCUAGUAGUCAAGAGUAAAAUUCAAAGUUACAAUAUUUGAAUAUUUCACAUAUAUUCCCAGAUCACAAUCACAUGGAUGGAGACUACUGCAAACGGAUAAUCGAUAUCAGGGCCCUAGAUUGGUGCUCGGGCUUCCAAACUGUUGAUGCAGGUGCAUGCAACAGGUGCAUAUAUUGUACCUAAAAGUUGGUGCUCGGGCUUCCAAACUGCUUCCAAACUUCCAAAUAAAAGUUAGUUAGGGUAAGGCAUCAACAGCAAUAUUACCGCUGGCAACGAAGGCACAGUGGAAGUGUGGACUCUGGAGUACAGGUGCAUGCAUUGUUCCAAUCGAAGGGAAGGAUGCACCCGGGAACGAAACUGUACUGAUGUUUCAGAAUUGCCUAGUGAACAUGGCGCUAGAUCGAAUUGACGCGUCGCCCUUUUAGCUUGAACUUAUAGCAUGGAUUAUCGGCCAUUGCAUAGUGUUUUUCUCUCAUAACAAAUUAGCGAAUAAUACUUUUUAGCAUCAAUAUAAGUUUAAGCUAAUAGGAUGAUCCGAACAUCGUUCAAAAGGUGAAUUUAAUUUCUAAAAUGCCCUCAUCUCAAAAAAAACAUAUAUGGUAUGAAUCGUCUGGUCCAUUAAGAAGACUAAUCAAUCUGAAAUGCAGCCCUUGAAACAAAGGAAUACAGUAUUUAUCAAUGUUAAAGUGAGGCAGUGGGUUCCCACCUACCUCUAUGCCUAACACGGAACCAGCAAUUGGACAACAAUGACGUUUCUCCUUCGGCCCUCGCUAGAGAAUUUGCUAAGUGCGUCUCUGCGCCGCUGAAGACUCCCCCUCAAGGCACCACUAUGAUGUUGACCCUGUUGCUCUCCAUCUUUGGUCACCAUCUGUCGCACCACACGUCUAGCGGCAAAGUGUGUCUCUCAAGCCCCUAAUGCGACCCAUCAAGCACAGAAGGUGCUUGUGUCCAAGUGGAAACCUAAUGUCUCAUAGCUAUUGGAUACCUAGGUAGCUAGUGGCAAACUUCUAGCAGCUUGACUCUGCAAAAAGGGCCACACGUCAAGCGCUUAUGAAGUUCGACCUGGCGGGGGUCUAGUGAAUGUUCGAGGAGGCUUGCUAGUCUCAUUGGCACCUGCUCGAUUGGUUGCAAAACAUCCAUAUAAUAUGUAAUUUAAAUUAGGUUUAUUUGAGUCAUGUUAGCUUGCAUCCUUCCAUAAUAAUCUAUGGAUUACUUGGGAAUGUUGUAACUAGUCAAAUUGUGUUUCACAAGGACACGCUCUUGAAAAAAUUUAAAGUGAAAGUUUGAGAGAAGUACUUUUAACUUUCCUUGCUUCAAAUUAGACAGGUUUGUUUUCUUAUUUGCUGAUCAGCAUACAGUUUCCAAAAAAGAGAAUUCCUGGUGGGAUGCUCCCCUCCCUACCGACCAUUAAAAGAAAGCAUUUCUAAUUGUUACUUUUGGGGCUUUUCAAACGCAUUUAACUUUGCCUAUUUGCUUUAUGAGAUCAGCAACCUGAUGAAGUCAUGAAAUGUUUGCGCCACAUGACUAGCUAGACCGGUCAGAGUUUCUUGCGCAAGUCAAAGUCUACCAGUCAGUCACACAGACAUCAGAAAUAUCCUCUCUCUUACAGUUUCAGUACUGAGUCAAACUAUAUAAAGUUUAACUUUUUUAUAAAAAUAAUAUUUAUAAUAAUCAAAUAAGAAUUAUCAGUUUUUUGAAAUCCAUUUUUAUAUCUAUUUAAUGUUUAAAUAUCAAUAUUAUCUUCUAUAAAUUGAUUCAAAAUUUAGAUAGUUUGAAUUAAAUCUUUUCUUUUUUUAGAUAAAGGAUAUGUUAUACCCGGCUUCAUCUAUCGACGCGUCCUUUUCUUGGACGGGGGUGGUACUUAUUUCUCUAACCACUACCACGCACGUGUACUGAUGAUACUAGCUAGUAGGCAUCAAGAAAUUUUCCUAACAACUAGCUAGAUACUAAUUUCUUGGACGGAUCGGAGUAGUUACAGAUCUUGAAAUGGCAUGUUCCGUGUAGUUAUACAGUAACUUUUGAAAGUCACAAAGUCGGAAAUCUAAUGACAAAUACCACGAAAGGUUUGUACAAAUUAAUCAAAUUCUAGAAUUUCCCCUUUUGACUGUAACUGAUUUUGUAGAAAAAUAGUAACAGUAUUUAUAACAUUAAAUAAGUUAUAAGAAUAAUACUGAUUUUGAUAUUAUAGAUACUAAUAUAUUUUUCUAUAAGUUUGGUUAAAUUUUAGAAAAAAAUAACUUAAGAUAACUUUUACAGUCGAAUUAUUUAGGGACGAUGGGAAUCUUUUCUUAAAAAAGGAGACGUGUUUUGGCCUCUGUGAACGAACACACAACUGCGAUUACAAUCGAACGGACAAGAUAGACCAAAUUGUUGGAAAAAAUAUUAUUGUUUAUCCAUCUAUUCUUGGCGAAAAAUGACGAUGGAAAUCUGUACGGAGCUAACUGGACGGUCAAGAAUUCCUAUUCAAGUCCAAGUCUAAUAGUCAAUCGUCCAAUGAGAUUGAGGCAUCGAGCAAAUUAGGGCCUCAGCAGUCAGCUCCACUCAGUCUCAAACAUUCACAACGUAUAACCACGCGUAACCACACGUCCAAAGUUCAACCGCGGCUGUGCAUGCAUGCAUGCAUUCUUGUGCGUUUGUUUGUUUGUAAGGAUUUAGCCAUCUCGUUUGUUUUGUAACGCGCGACCACUGGACACAAAAAUAUUUAUAAAAAAGUAGAUUGUUCGAUCAGAUAAAUCCAAGGUACAAUACUAUGAUUUAUUCAAUUAACAAGCGAUAAAGUUUAUUUUGCCCUUAAAAACAUAUGCCCUUACUCUCCCACCUGUUGGAUUCGCUUUAAGAAGUGUGCAAAUACACAUCUUAAUAUAAAAAUACAUUGAGAUGUGUGUUUGCAUACUUUUUAAAGUGAAUCCAAUAAAUAAGAGAGUGAGGACU
RNAcentral lists this long non-coding RNA (9166 nucleotides) under Sorghum bicolor (sorghum). RNAcentral describes it as "long non-coding RNA (SBIC_LNC007363)". Lineage: Eukaryota; Viridiplantae; Streptophyta; Magnoliopsida; Poales; Poaceae. The record is from RNAcentral.